GCCCUCGUGGAUCAGCGGUAGAUCAUCCGUUGCUUUUCGCCAUGUAAUGAAGGAAGUUCUGUCGACCAGCUGGGUUUGAAUCCCAGCGAGGGCA
This is a non-coding RNA of Mycena polygramma, 94 nucleotides long. Lineage: Eukaryota; Fungi; Basidiomycota; Agaricomycetes; Agaricales; Mycenaceae. The record is from the annotation of a GenBank genome assembly.